UAAGGCGCGAGAUUGGAUUUCGGAUUCUCUGAUUUUCCCAUAGAAUUUUGGCUGACAGUUAUUUCGGAUUUUUGCUAAAUCGCCGUGGCUUGCUUUUUGUCUGAAUGUUAGGAAAAUUAGAUAUAGGAAUCGGAAUUGGAAAUGAUCAUAAUGGGGGCGUUUGGGGAAUUUUGGGAUUUAUAUAGGCUUCGAUACAACGCUGGAGUCCGAGUCAACUCUCUGUGUCAGCCCCCCGUCCACUCCGAGUUCACAGAUCUCCUUCUCGGCUUGUUUACUCAUUUUUUUU
This 286-nucleotide unclassified non-coding RNA is filed under the name Hevea brasiliensis (rubber tree). The record is from RNAcentral. Lineage: Eukaryota; Viridiplantae; Streptophyta; Magnoliopsida; Malpighiales; Euphorbiaceae.